UACGUAGGGAGCGAGCGUUGUCCGGAUUUAUUGGGCGUAAAGAGCUCGUAGGCGGUUCGGUAAGUCGGGUGUGAAAACCCCAGGCUCAACCUGGGGACGCCACCCGAUACUGCUGUGACUUGAGUCUGGUAGGGGAGCACGGAAUUCCUGGUGUAGCGGUGAAAUGCACAGAUAUCAGGAGGAACACCGGUGGCGAAGGCGGUGCUCUGGGCCAGUACUGACGCUGAGGAGCGAAAGCGUGGGGAGCGAACAGG
RNAcentral lists this ribosomal RNA (254 nucleotides) under uncultured bacterium. RNAcentral's name for it is "partial 16S ribosomal RNA". It matches the Rfam family "Bacterial small subunit ribosomal RNA", at positions 524 to 776 of the family's 1533-position model. The record is from RNAcentral.